This 1321-nucleotide long non-coding RNA is filed under the name Drosophila guanche. The record is from RNAcentral. Lineage: Eukaryota; Metazoa; Arthropoda; Insecta; Diptera; Drosophilidae.
GACACCGCUGAGGGCAACCAGAGCAGCCAGAUUGAUCCUUUCAAAAAGCUCAUCAAAGGCAACAUUUAAUUAUUUGAUUUGUGUUCAUUGUAAAGGAAGACUCAGGGCUAAGAUCAAGUGUAUUUAUGUUUUACAUAUUUUUGGUUGCCAAACGAACGAAUUGUUACAAUAUUUGAACUAUGAAUCGGAUGGAAAGAAUCGAAAGAUUCUACCACUUCCAGUCUGUCGGGUGGAAUCAUUGUCUUCCCGAAUGGAUUUAAGCUUUGAGAAUAUUGUGACGCUCAGCGCCUGACUUGGCACUUUGCGGGUGAUCUUUUGCAUGUAAAUGAUCGUCUUCUUUUGUAAUUCUGUUCCUGCCAGAAGCUGCUGGCCUGAUUGCCCCCGGCAUUGAUGGAAAUGGGCGUAGUGCCGGACUGCUCCUCUUCGGCUGGGUCAUUGCCGAGCUCCAUUGCCGACUGCCUCGGGUCCGUCUUGAGCUCCACCUCCUCCUGUCUCCUCCAGAUCAUCUGUAUCGUCGGAGAGGACACGCAGCAGUUCCUCAAUGGUUUUGAACCUGUUCUGCGAAGGUAGGUCUUCACCGGAUUCUUCUGUUACUCCCGUCUGCGUUUCUUGCCCUAAUCGUGGCUCUGACAUCGGUUGACUUUCUUGUAUGUUGCGCGCUUCGUAAGAAGGGAUGCUUCCAUCCACGUUACAACGGGCAUCCAUGUUUAAUUGUUGCUCGCAAAGAGCGGUCCUGUCACUCUCGCCACAAGGGGCGGCUGGCUUUGGCUCUGGCUUCGUUCGGAUCUCAACGCCCCAAUAGAUGCUCCCUUCUCCCACUCUUUUCCUCGGAUCUCGAAUGAGAUCUGGGAUCUGACUCGAAAUUUUAUUCCGUUUACCGUCCUUCUUUCUCUUGCGAGAUUUAACUUUCAACUUCUGUUUUACCACCGGAGUUGGAAGUGGAGCAGCAGCAGCAGCAGCGGAAUUCUUGUCCAUUUCGCUGUGAGGUGUAUCCAUCAAGGACGUAUCAUACUGAUACUCCCCAAUCUUCUUUUUUUUAUUCUUAGCUGACUUUUUUUUUGCCAUACUUCUCAAAAGACUUCUCAAACCCGUAAAAUAAAGAUGAGCCCUGGUUGCUACGUUUUUUCAAAGGAACAUUCAAACCUUCAAAUUCACCGUCAGACCCUCGGAGAUAUACCGAAAUAUAACAUUUCAUACGCAAAAUAUACUGUUUAUCUACCGUAAAUCUUAAAUCAUUUACAUCGACUUUGAUUACCAGUUUUUGGGAUUGUCUAAUUCAUCAAUUAAUUUUCCACAAGGUUGGCUUUCACGAUUUUUCUUU